This is a long non-coding RNA of Leptopilina boulardi, 1089 nucleotides long. RefSeq lists it as uncharacterized. Lineage: Eukaryota; Metazoa; Arthropoda; Insecta; Hymenoptera; Figitidae. The record is from RefSeq and is a predicted model, not a curated record. The transcript is spliced from 3 exons.
UAUUCAGUGUUUAAAGCUAUUCGAGAUUUUUGAUAUUCGACUUUCUUGAAUUCGAGAUUUUCAGUAGACAUAAAUAAAAACAAAAUUCUUUACAAACAACAAAUAAUGUAUGUACAUAAUUAUUUAAAAUGAAAAGAUGCUGUUGUGUGAAGAAUUGCAAAACCCGCGGCGAAAAUAGCGAAGACGAAAAAUUAAUUCUUUUUAAAGUACCCGCUCAUGAUCAAAUAAGAGAAAAAUGGGAAAUUAUUUUAAAUACCAAAAUAAGUUAAUCAUCAUUUGUUUGUCAAAAACAUUUUCACAAAUAUGAUAUAAGAACGAGAGAAAUUAUUCGUGACUCUGAUGGCAUUGUUAUAUAUUUCUAUCCAUUUAAGCAGAAAGUACUGGUAAAAGGAAGUUUGCCUUGCAAUCACAGUAUUCACAGUAUUGCAAGUCACAGUAAGAGAAAUGAGAUACCAAAAAAUCAAAAUCUGAUGCGAAUAAUGAUGAAAAUUGACUAAGGAAUAUAAGAAAUGUAGAAAAAUGAGUUGUCAUUAUUAUUAAUAACAUUAUUAUUAAUAAGCAAUCUAACGAAGAAAAAGCUAUAAUGAUAAUUGUCAAUGGUAAAUUUGAAGUGUAUUUAUGUAUUCUAAGGAAAGAAUAAUGAAGUAUCUACACGAAAGGAAAACUUCCAAUACUAAAGGAGUUCGAGGAAUUUCUGAGUCGCUAAUCAGGAAUUUUAAUUUAGUUUAAAAAAAAUCAAAAUGGCAGAUCUAAUAUGGCAAACGAAAAAAGUCAAGAUUCGAUCGGAUUAUUGUGAAACUUUUUAUAAAAAGAUUUUAAUUAUGUUAAAUACAAAUUUUAUGACACAAAAACCCCAGAAUAACAAGUUUCAUGACAAUCUGAAAGAUUUUUUAUUUUGAGUUAUGCAUAUUGAAUCCGAAAUUUUGAAUUUUUAAAAUCUGAUUGUAAAACCUAUCUGGAGCACGAUUUAUGUACUUUCGAUGGUAAUCAAAAAAAUGUUUUCCCAUCGAACUUUAUAGAUUUAAAAAAAAAUUAUGAAAGAUCUUGUGAUUUUGCAAUUGAAUAAUAAAAAGAAAUAAUAAACAAUUA